This 497-nucleotide ribosomal RNA is filed under the name uncultured bacterium. Its description in RNAcentral is "partial 16S ribosomal RNA". It matches the Rfam family "Bacterial small subunit ribosomal RNA", at positions 28 to 507 of the family's 1533-position model. The record is from RNAcentral.
GAUGAACGCUGGCGGCGUGCCUAAUACAUGCAAGUCGAGCGAACGGACGAGAAGCUUGCGUCUCUGAUGUUAGCGGCGGACGGGUGAGUAACACGUGGAUAACCUACCUAUAAGACUGGGAUAACUUCGGGAAACCGGAGCUAAUACCGGAUGAUAUUUUGAACCGCAUGGUUCAAAAGUGAAAGACGGUCUUGCUGUCACUUAUAGAUGGAUCCGCGCUGCAUUAGCUAGUUGGUAAGGUAACGGCUUACCAAGGCAACGAUGCAUAGCCGACCUGAGAGGGUGAUCGGCCACACUGGAACUGGAACACGGUCCAGACUCCUACGGGAGGCAGCAGUAGGGAAUCUUCCGCAAUGGGCGAGAGCCUGACGGAGCAACGCCGCGUGAGUGAUGAAGAUCUUCGGAUCGUAAAACUCUGUUAUUAGGGAAGAACAUAUGUGUAAGUAAAUGUGCACAUCUUGACGGUACCUAAUCAGAAAGCCACGGCUAACUACGUG